ACACAUCGAGGGCACAGCGAAGGGAGGGGGCAGCGCAAUAUCGGCCCACGGGCGCGAUGCUCCAUAGAAGUGCGGUUCUGGCUCGCAGGAGCCCCUGCGACUUUGACAGCUGUCGCUUUGGCUGCACAGGAGACGAAUCGCCCUCCUUUUGGUGCCAGAAGAAGCAGGAAAUUAGCCAGGUUGCAAGUUGAAAAUCUGCCACGCCAGUGCUUUGAAUCCAAUAUGCCACACCUUCCAGCGGGGGAACUGGAAAUUGCCAUCCCGGAUCUGUGUUCUAGGCGGCUGCUUAUGCCGAACCUCCGCACACUUUGUUCACUAUAGCCUUACAAAGAGCAAAUGAAAUGGGGAUUGAAAGCCAGAGAGAUCCGAAGCAGGACAGAGCUCAGCAAAAGAAUGCGGCUCUAUUCUCGCAAGGGAAAUUAUAAAAAAGUUCAUGUUCACGGUUACCAUCCACAUGACCGACGACGACCAAUGGAAAAACCGAACAACUCAUAAAGUUGUAUUGCAAAGUUGUAAAUUUUCAUAAACAACAACGGAUUUAUGGCCUUUUCCUCAUCACUAAGAAGAGGCAGGUCUUAGAGAGGCGCCAUCUUACCACAGAGGCAGCCCCGGAGUUUUUUUUUUUUUCCAGCAGACCUGAAGUUCGCACUAAUUUUAUUAAGAUUGCAAUUAGUCCAUCGGCGGGGACGGAGCGCGGCGGUGAAGGGGAACUUCAGCUCAGACGACGCUCCCGUUCUACUCUGCGUUCGGCCGCCCGAAUAAAGGCGCUUUUCGUGUUUUUUUAUUUUUUUUAAUUAUUUUAUAUUUUUUUAAUUUAAAAUUUUUCACUUUUCAUUCCCGACCUUUUUUUCCCCCCAUCACUGAAAACACUUUCUCGCCUCGACGUCGAGUGGUACGCAGCAGAACGGAUAGCUUUCCCGAAGCGGGGUUGUUUUUCCCCCCCUUUUUUUUCUUUUUAGCCCCAUUCCCGUGCCCCCCCGGCCUCGGAAAGCCGCCCGUCCUCAGCCGAGCGUUCACCCCGGGAAGUUUCGCCCCUCACUUUUUGCUCUUUCCCAUAUCUGGUUUCCCUACGUGCGAAUGGGGCUCCGUCACGGCCGCCUGGGCCGGGCUCGGGCUUUCUGGAGGAGCACGGUGGAAGGAAGCCCUGCCAUAAAGAAGCUUUCCGCUUUAUUAAUCAACCGCGCCGGGAGAAAUAAAGAUAUUAAUUUAGGGGGGAAAAAAAAAGAAAAAAAAAAAAGAAAGAAAAACCACGAAGUCCAGAUAGAGAAAUUGACUGAUUGCCGCCCAUUCGUCACCUCGGAUUAUUUUAUUCUUUUCGAUCAUGGGGGAAAAAAAUAAUAAUAAUAACCAUGUGGUCGAAUUUCUUUAGUGGUGCGUCUUCAUUAUUUUUUACCCUUCCUUCGAACUGCUUCCCUCAUAAUAAAAAAAGGCACAAUUAAUUGUCAACAAGCAUCUUUAUUUUCCGUGUGACAUAGAACACAUUUAUCGUGGGGGAUACUUGAACACGGGAUCACUUCCAAAGAGAGUUCACAGACAUUUUCUUUUUUUCUCCACUUCCAAUACUUACACGGCAUAUCCAAAUGUUCACAACGAACACAUCGAAACACAUCGUAACAUACAGUUGUUUGAAUAAACUUUAGCCAAACCUUCGAGACGGAUUUAUACAGAGAUCUGAACGAUACGUCAUGCGACAAAGUUUCCCAAUUAAUUACAUACUUCCCAAUUUAUGACGUGGUCUUACAAAUGAGCUCCGAGACAAAUAUAAAUGACAAAGAGAAAAAAAAAAUCGUUCAAAUAUACAAUAUCUGCUAUCUUAGGAAAAUUCACGGUAUUACGUAUUAACACGUUGGGAUCGUCAGGACGAACAGAUAUUUGAAAGGCGGUUACAUGGUCGUUUAAAUUCGCUUUGCCAAGAACACUUUCAGCUAUAUUGAGUAAGAUCAACCCAGGAUAAGGAAACGGCCUUGAGCGGAGGCAGCCUAAGGUAGAAGCCCACGGUAGAUAUUAAACCGCUUUAUACAAUAUUGGCGUGUGCGUCCGCUCCCUCACUCCGGAGAGUAAAGGUUCGCGGACAGAGAUAUAUUGCAGCAUAUGGUUUUCAUUAAUAAUUGCUUUGGAAUAAAUAUAUUAUUUUCAUUUUAAAUAUAUUCAGCCUUUACGGUACCAAAUUCUAUACCAAAGCUACGGAUGCGUGCUUUUCGAACGACUGCGCUUACGUGUCUAAAAGCAUUUUGCAAUUCACAUUAGUACGUUAUCUUCUUCUGACUACUAAAAUACAGCAUACUUUCGAAGAUAGGUAGGCGGAGCAAGAUAUAUAGGUAGUCUGAAAAAUAGGUAGUACGACUCAUUGCUGUGGAUUGUAGUGGUUUGUGGCACAUCUUCCCCCCCCCCCCCUUCGCUUGCUGUGUUACCUUUUGUUAGUGUAGCUGUUAGUUACGGUACUUUGCUAACAAUAAUUAAAAGAUAAAGGAAAAAGAAAAAAAGAAAAGUGCAGAGCUACUUCUUCAAAAUUAGGUAGUUUUUUUUUUUUUUCUUAAUGCGAGCCUAAUGCACUUUUCCCCUUACAACGUGAUUGGGACUAUUGAGUCAGGUAGUUACUUCGGAAGGUCACGGUGUACUUUAUGUGCAAGCAGCAGUCCUCCCACCGAAACGUCCCCAGGAGGAACCCACCCGAGAGCGGGCGAACGAAAACUCAAAUGAUUGUAGGAUGCCCUCAGGAUACGCUACCACGGGGCAGGUUUGGGGAGGACGGGAGAGGGGAGAGAGGGCUGGAAGUCCAACCCAAGAGACGUUUUCAUGUUUGCAAACGCCCGCUUGCGAGGCAGAACUAAAGGGAACUGAUUACUAUUUUUUUUUUUAAUAAAAACAGUGAGUGUCUCUCUCUCUCUCUUUUUUUUUUUU
RNAcentral lists this long non-coding RNA (2901 nucleotides) under Gallus gallus (chicken). Lineage: Eukaryota; Metazoa; Chordata; Aves; Galliformes; Phasianidae. The record is from RNAcentral.